ACUCCUACGGGAGGCAGCAGUGGGAAUAUUGCACAAUGGGGGAAAGCCCAUCGAUGCAGCAACGACCGCGUGGAGGAUGACACAUUUUCGGUGCGUAAAACUCCUUUUAUAUAGGAAGAUAAAUGACGGUACUAUAUGAAUAAGCGCCGGCUAACUCCGUGCCAGCAGCCGCGGUAAUACGGAGGGCGCAAGCGUUACUCGAAUCAC
This 207-nucleotide ribosomal RNA is filed under the name uncultured bacterium. RNAcentral describes it as "partial 16S ribosomal RNA". It matches the Rfam family "Bacterial small subunit ribosomal RNA", at positions 335 to 554 of the family's 1533-position model. The record is from RNAcentral.